CCUACGGGUGGCUGCAGUGAGGGAUAUUGGUCAAUGGGCGUAAGCCUGAACCAGCGAAGUCGCGUGAGGGAUGAAGGUUCUCUGGAUCGUAAACCUCUUUUAUAAGGGCAUAAAGUGUGGGACGUGUCCUGUUUUGUAUGUACCUUAUGAAUAAGGAUCGGCUAACUCCGUGCCAGCAGCCGCGGUAAUACGGAGGAUGCGAGCGUUAUCCGGAUUUAUGGGGUUUAAAGGGUGCGCAGGCGGAGGUGAAAGUCAGUGGUCAAAGUGCGGGGCUCAACCCCGUACUGCCGUUGAAACUGCAUCCCUUGAGUGCGCGAGAGGUAAGCGGAAUGCGUGGUGUAGCGGUGAAAUGCGUAGAUAUCACGAGGAACUCCGGUGGCGAAGGCGGCAUACCGGGGCGCAACUGACGCUCAUGCACGAAAGCGUGGGGAGCGAACAGGAUUAGAUACCCUGGUAGUC
Molecule: ribosomal RNA, 459 nt
Filed under: uncultured bacterium
Lineage: Bacteria
Description: partial 16S ribosomal RNA
Rfam family: Bacterial small subunit ribosomal RNA
Source: RNAcentral